This 465-nucleotide ribosomal RNA is filed under the name uncultured bacterium. RNAcentral describes it as "partial 16S ribosomal RNA". It matches the Rfam family "Bacterial small subunit ribosomal RNA", at positions 338 to 795 of the family's 1533-position model. The record is from RNAcentral.
CCUACGGGUGGCAGCAGUGGGGCAUUUUGCGCAAUGCUCGUAAGAGUGACGCAGCGACGCCGCGUGAAUGACGAAGGCCUUCGGGUCGUAAAGUUCUUUCGACAGGGAAGAAAAUGCCUAUAAGUAACUGUGUAUGUAUUGACGGUACCUGUAUACGCAGCCUCGGCUAAUUCCGUCCACGCAGCCGAGGUAAUACGGAGGGGGCGAGCGUUGUUCGGAGUGACUGGGCGUAAAGGGCACGUGGGCGGUGUUGUAAGUGAUUAGUCAAAGACUAUAGCUCAACUUUAGUCAGGCUAGUGAUACUAGAUGACUAGAGUAUCAGAGAGGAUUGCAGAAUUCCUGGUGUAGCGGUGAAAUGCGUAGAUAUCAGGAGGAAUACCGUUAGCGAAGGCGGCAAUCUGGCUGGAAACUGACGCUGAGGUGCGAAAGCGUGGGUAGCAAACAGGAUUAGAUACCCGUGUAGUC